Molecule: ribosomal RNA, 450 nt
Filed under: uncultured bacterium
Lineage: Bacteria
Description: partial 16S ribosomal RNA
Rfam family: Bacterial small subunit ribosomal RNA
Source: RNAcentral
GUGGGGAAUCUUCCGCAAUGGACGAAAGUCUGACGGAGCAACGCCGCGUGAGUGAAGAAGGUUUUCGGAUCGUAAAGCUCUUUCGUCAGGGACGAACGUAUUUCUUGUAAAUAAUGAGAGAUAGUGACGGUACCUGAAUAAGAAGCCACGGCUAACUACGUGCCAGCAGCCGCGGUAAUACGUAGGUGGCAAGCGUUGUCCGGAAUUAUUGGGCGUAAAGCGCGCGCAGGCGGGAUAUCAAGUCUGUCUUAAAAGUGCGAGGCUCAACCUCGUGAGGGGACAGAAACUGGUGUUCUUGAGUGUCGGAGAGGAAAGUGGAAUUCCAAGUGUAGCGGUGAAAUGCGUAGAGAUUUGGAAGAACACCAGUGGCGAAGGCGACUUUCUGGACGAUGUCUGACGCUGAGGCGCGAAAGCUAGGGGAGCGAACGGGAUUAGAAACCCUUGUAGUCC